Molecule: long non-coding RNA, 495 nt
Filed under: Cyanistes caeruleus (blue tit)
Lineage: Eukaryota; Metazoa; Chordata; Aves; Passeriformes; Paridae
Description: lncRNA (ENSCCEG00000015692.1)
Source: RNAcentral
AUGGAAGGAGCACGGUGCCACGUAGCCAGGCAGUGUUUGCUGAACUUUUUCUGGCUUGCAUGUGCAGUCCAAAUUUCAAAUAUUUCCAAGAAAUUGCCUCUACAAAUGCAAGACAUAAUAAUGAAACAACAAGGAUUGAAAACUACUUGGAAAUGUCCAGGCAGCAGCUUCAUGGCUCUGAGCAGCAAUAAGUACAACAGUGCAGAACUGAGUGCUGACCACAGAAAUGCUGCCAACACAAAACUGUGCAGCAGGACAGCCACAGCUGUGCACCGGGAGUCUGCAGGAGGAUCCACCACGUCACAGCAGUGAUGUUCUGUCUGGUCAGUCAGAGCUGAGGAUUUGAGUGUUACUUGCAAUAAUUGAAACCUUCCUGGAGCUCACAGUUUCAGCCUCUGAGGAAAAUGUCAUUCAACAGAAACAAAAAGAGAAAAGGAAGAAGAGUCACCACUUCAUACCAUUCUCACACAAAAUAAAAAUUUAUGAGUAAUAAAA